This is a long non-coding RNA of Erinaceus europaeus (western European hedgehog), 432 nucleotides long. RefSeq lists it as uncharacterized. Lineage: Eukaryota; Metazoa; Chordata; Mammalia; Eulipotyphla; Erinaceidae. The record is from RefSeq and is a predicted model, not a curated record. The transcript is spliced from 3 exons.
GCCACGGUGUCUCAGUGUGCAGCCUUGAGAGCAGCCUUUCAGGUCUGGCUGGGAGAGAGCUUUCUGGGGCGGAGGGGCUAACGGCCCGUGCACAGAGGCUCCAGUCUCUGUUUGUGCAGACAGUGUGGCAUCACAUCAAGCCACGGUCGCAGCCUCCAGGAAAACCCCAGGCAGGCAGGAGGGAUAUAUCCCCAGGAGAGGAAUUGCAGAGUCAUAGGGAAGGUCCACUUCUAGCCUUCUGAGAACUCUCCAGACUGCUCAAUUGACAUUCCCACUGGCAGAAGAACUCUGCCUUGCUGAUCUGGGCUCAGAAGGUGGGGAGAGACACAGCUCACCCAGAGCUCAGCAGUGAGCCUGCCCACCUGCCUGUGGGGACAGUGCUGCAGUCCUGGCUGCAGGAGGAGACCAGGGGUCCUCUGACGCCCCAAAAAC